GCAUUCAUUUUUGUAGCACAUAUAAUAAAACUGGAAUGAUACAGAGAAGAAUAGCGUGACCUCUGUGCAAGGAUGUCAUGCAAAUCUGUGAAGCAUUAAAUAUUUAA
Small nuclear RNA from Grammomys surdaster, 107 nucleotides. NCBI's taxonomy places the organism in Eukaryota, Metazoa, Chordata, Mammalia, Rodentia, Muridae. The record is from RefSeq and is a predicted model, not a curated record.